This 471-nucleotide ribosomal RNA is filed under the name uncultured bacterium. RNAcentral describes it as "partial 16S ribosomal RNA". It matches the Rfam family "Bacterial small subunit ribosomal RNA", at positions 28 to 506 of the family's 1533-position model. The record is from RNAcentral.
GACGAACGCUGGCGGCGUGCUUAACACAUGCAAGUCGAACGCUGAAGCUUGGUGCUUGCACUGGGUGGAUGAGUGGCGAACGGGUGAGUAAUACGUGAGUAACCUGCCCUUGACUCUGGGAUAAGCCUGGGAAACUGGGUCUAAUACUGGAUACGACAUGUCACCGCAUGGUGGUGUGUGGAAAGGGUUUUACUGGUUUUGGAUGGGCUCACGGCCUAUCAGCUUGUUGGUGGGGUAAUGGCUCACCAAGGCGACGACGGGUAGCCGGCCUGAGAGGGUGACCGGCCACACUGGGACUGAGACACGGCCCAGACUCCUACGGGAGGCAGCAGUGGGGAAUAUUGCACAAUGGGCGGAAGCCUGAUGCAGCGACGCCGCGUGAGGGAUGACGGCCUUCGGGUUGUAAACCUCUUUCAGAACGGAAGAAGCGAAAGUGACGGUACGUGCAGAAGAAGCGCCGGCUAACUACGU